Molecule: ribosomal RNA, 450 nt
Filed under: uncultured bacterium
Lineage: Bacteria
Description: bacterial SSU rRNA
Rfam family: Bacterial small subunit ribosomal RNA
Source: RNAcentral
AACGAACGCUGGCGGCAUGCCUAACACAUGCAAGUCGAACGAAGUCUUCGGACUUAGUGGCGCACGGGUGCGUAACGCGUGGGAAUCUGCCCUUGGGUGCGGAAUAACUUCUCGAAAGGGAUGCUAAUACCGCAUAAUGUCGUAAGACCAAAGAUUUAUCGCCCAAGGAUGAGCCCGCGUAAGAUUAGCUAGUUGGUGGGGUAAAAGCCUACCAAGGCGACGAUCUUUAGCUGGUCUGAGAGGAUGAUCAGCCACACUGGGACUGAGACACGGCCCAGACUCCUACGGGAGGCAGCAGUGGGGAAUAUUGGACAAUGGGCGAAAGCCUGAUCCAGCAAUGCCGCGUGAGUGAUGAAGGCCCUAGGGUUGUAAAGCUCUUUUACCAGGGAUGAUAAUGACAGUACCUGGAGAAUAAGCUCCGGCUAACUUCGUGCCAGCAGCCGCGGUAAU